This 465-nucleotide ribosomal RNA is filed under the name uncultured bacterium. Its description in RNAcentral is "partial 16S ribosomal RNA". It matches the Rfam family "Bacterial small subunit ribosomal RNA", at positions 28 to 507 of the family's 1533-position model. The record is from RNAcentral.
GACGAACGCUGGCGGCGUGCUUAACACAUGCAAGUCGAACGGAAAGGCCCCUUCGGUGGUCCUCGAGUGGCGAACAGGUGAGUAACACUUGCGUAACCUGCCCUUGACUUCGGGAUAACUUCAGGAAACUGGGGCUAAUACCGGAUAGGAAUCCUUGCUGCAUGGUGGGGGUUGGAAAGCUUCGGCGGGUUUGGGUGGACUUGCGGCUUAUCAGCUUGCUGGUGGGGUAGUGGCUUACCAAGGCUUGGACGGGUAGCCGGACUGAGAGGGCGACCGGCCACAUUGGGACUGAGGGACGGCCCAGGCACGUACGGGAGGCAGCUGUGGGGAAUCUUGAACAAGGGGCGGAAGGCGGAUGAAGCAGCGCCGCGUGUGGGAUGACGGUCUUAGGGUUGUAAACCGCUUUCAGAAGGGGCGAAGCUUGUGGUGACGGUACCUGCAGAAGAAGCACCGGCUAACUACGUG